AUAUCAAUAAGCGGAGGAAAAGAAACCAACAGGGAUUACCUCAGUAACGGCGAGUGAAGCGGUAACAGCUCAAAUUUGAAAUCUGGCCCUUGGGUCCGAGUUGUAAUUUGUAGAAGAUGCUUUGGGUGUGGCUCCGGUCUAAGUUCCUUGGAACAGGUCGUCAUAGAGGGUGAGAAUCCCGUAUGCGACUGGCUGCCUUCGCCCGUGUAAAGCUCUUUCGACGAGUCGAGUUGUUUGGGAAUGCAGCUCUAAUUGGGUGGUAAAUUUCAUCUAAAGCUAAAUACAUGCCAGAGACCGAUAGCGCACAAGUAGAGUGAUCGAAAGAUGAAAAGCACUUUGGAAAGAGAGUUAAACAGUACGUGAAAUUGUUGAAAGGGAAGCGCUUGCGACCAGACUCGGGCGCCGCUGAUCAGUCCGGGUUCUCCCGGCGGCACUCGGCGGCGUCUGGGCCAGCAUCGGUUCUGGUGGCUGGAUAAAGGCCUUGGGAAUGUAGCUCCCUUCGGGGAGUGUUAUAGCCCUCGGUGCAAUGCAGCCCACCGGGACCGAGGACCGCGCUUCGGCUAGGAUGCUGGCGUAAUGGUCGUAAGCGACCCGUCUUGAAACACGGACCAAGGAGUCUAACAUCUAUGCGAGUGUUUGGGUGUCAAACCCAUACGCGAAAUGAAAGUGAACGUAGGUGAGAACCCGUCUGGGUGCAUCAUCGACCGAUCCUGAUGUCUUCGGAUGGAUUUGAGUAAGAGCAUAGCUGUUGGGACCCGAAAGAUGGUGAACUAUGCCUAAAUAGGGUGAAGCCAGAGGAAACUCUGGUGGAGGCUCGCAGCGGUUCUGACGUGCAAAUCGAUCGUCAAAUUUGGGUAUAGGGGCGAAAGACUAAUCGAACCAUCUAGUAGCUGGUUCCUGC
This 901-nucleotide ribosomal RNA is filed under the name Hymenoscyphus aurantiacus. RNAcentral's name for it is "eukaryotic LSU rRNA". It matches the Rfam family "Eukaryotic large subunit ribosomal RNA", at positions 40 to 961 of the family's 3401-position model. The record is from RNAcentral. Lineage: Eukaryota; Fungi; Ascomycota; Leotiomycetes; Helotiales; Helotiaceae.